Molecule: long non-coding RNA, 385 nt
Filed under: Rattus norvegicus (Norway rat)
Lineage: Eukaryota; Metazoa; Chordata; Mammalia; Rodentia; Muridae
Description: long non-coding RNA NONRATT008337
Source: RNAcentral
GGAACUAGAGAGGCCAUAAGAGGGUGUUGGAUUCAUUGGAACUGGAGAGGCCAUAAGAGGGUGUUGGAUUCAUUGGAACUGGAGUUACAGGUGGUUGUGAGCCACCAUGUGUGUGCUGAAUCCAAGACCUCUGGAACGGCGGCCAAUGCUCUCACCAUCGAGCCAUCCCUCCAGUUCCUCUGCCAUCAUUAUUGUUGGGUUUGUUUUUGUUUUUGUUUUUGUUUUUUUCAAGACAAGGUUUCUCUGUAUAGCCUUGGCUGUCCUGGAACUCACUCUAUAGGCCAGGGUAGCCUCAAACUCCGAGAUCUACCUAUUCUGCCCACCAAGUGCUGGGAUUAAAUGUGUGUGCCAUGACUGUCCAGCUAUUUUUUUUUUAAAGGGGAAA